RNAcentral lists this ribosomal RNA (602 nucleotides) under Pseudomonas sp. HPC1263. Its description in RNAcentral is "bacterial SSU rRNA". It matches the Rfam family "Bacterial small subunit ribosomal RNA", at positions 44 to 651 of the family's 1533-position model. Lineage: Bacteria; Pseudomonadati; Pseudomonadota; Gammaproteobacteria; Pseudomonadales; Pseudomonadaceae. The record is from RNAcentral.
GGGGUGAAAGCAGAACUGCGAUGGGGAAGCUUGCUCCUUGAUUAUCUGGGGAGGGGGGAAUAAUGCCUAGGAAUCUGCCUGGUAGUGGGGGACAACGUUUCGAAAGGACCGCUAAUACCGCAUACGUCCUACGGGAGAAAGCAGGGGACCUUCGGGCCUUGCGCUAUCAGAUGAGCCUAGGUCGGAUUAGCUAGUUGGUGAGGUAAUGGCUCACCAAGGCGACGAUCCGUAACUGGUCUGAGAGGAUGAUCAGUCACACUGGAACUGAGACACGGUCCAGACUCCUACGGGAGGCAGCAGUGGGGAAUAUUGGACAAUGGGCGAAAGCCUGAUCCAGCCAUGCCGCGUGUGUGAAGAAGGUCUUCGGAUUGUAAAGCACUUUAAGUUGGGAGGAAGGGCAGUAAGUUAAUACCUUGCUGUUUUGACGUUACCGACAGAAUAAGCACCGGCUAACUCUGUGCCAGCAGCCGCGGUAAUACAGAGGGUGCAAGCGUUAAUCGGAAUUUCUGGGGCGUAAAGCGCGCGUAGUGGUUCGUUAAGUUGGAUGUGAAAGCCCCGGGCUCAACUGGGAACUGAUCCAAAACUGGCGGGCUAGAUUCCGU